GGAGAACACAUAUUCUCACAGUUUUCACAUGUGUGCGUUUGCUCUUCUACUAUUUUACUCAUAGUUGGCUGUUUGUGAUGCAUUCCAGCCUCCCUGGGAUACAGAAAUUGGCAACAAGUUCAUCAUUCAUUACACUUAUGGAUGUGAUUAUGACAUGAAGGGUAAGUUGACCUAUGGAAAGAUUGGAGAAUGGAGAUUUGACAAAAGAUCCUAUGAUACUGUCUGGCCU
This is a non-coding RNA of Camellia sinensis, 229 nucleotides long. The record is from RefSeq and is a predicted model, not a curated record. NCBI's taxonomy places the organism in Eukaryota, Viridiplantae, Streptophyta, Magnoliopsida, Ericales, Theaceae.